GGACGAUGGCUUCGCUCGACGUCUUGGAGCAAGUGCUGGCUGGGAGGGCUAGGAGGUGGAGCACGGUAUCUACCGUGUCGAUGUCAGUGGAUCUCGGCGGUAUGAUGCAACAAGGUCUCGGGUGGAUGCAGAAUUCCUGGCUCUGUCCCUGGGUGGAUGUGUGUUGCUGGAAGCGUGUCGUGUAGGAGGGUGGCGUUAUCUGGCGUCAUGACGACGUCAAUGGCAGGCCUGACAAGGUCAAUGCUUCGAUCCUGUACUGAAGAUGGUCGGUGAAAGACGACGGCAGUGGUUUCUGGAGCAUGCGCAUACGGUACGCGCUAAGAAUUUGUUGGACCAGUUGGGCUGUCCUCCGAAUUUACAAGAUGUGCGUUGGUGUGUGGUGAGAGCAGACAACCCUGGUCAUGUUCACCCUCUUCAGUUUUAAUGAUGUGCGUUGUUAUGUGAUCAUGGCAGAUGGCUCUGAUCAUGGUCACUCUUUUCUUCAAGCUUGUAGGUGUUGCGACAAUUAUUGUUGUCAGGAAGAUAGUUUUGGUUUAAUCGAUAUAUUAGUUUUGUCUGGUUUGUAAAUAAUAUAAUAGAUGUCGUAUGCAUCAAUUUGAUGCAGACCGGGGGUUUCAAAAAUCUUUUUGAAAAAAGAAAGCAUCACCCCCACGUUGUUAGGUCCAAGAGGCCAACUGGUGCGACACUUAUUUUGGGACGAGAGAGUAUAUCUUAUAUCGUGAAAAAUAAGUUAGUGUCUUAAAAGAGCUCUUGAAAAAUAGACGUGACGACAUCUAGUAGUAUAGUACACAACAAUACAUGCAUAUAUGAUAAAAGAAAAUAUCAUGCGAAUAGAUUGGGAGUUCUGCCAUAUACGGAAAGCAACACAGAGACAAUCAACUAGACAUUACUACCAUGUGAUAUCUAACCAUCAUUCUAAUGAAAUAAAUAGUGCCAAACUGCCACCAUAUACAAGCCAUUGGAAUAGCUUCCUCUAUUCUUCAAAUCAA
Brachypodium distachyon (stiff brome) is the source of this 989-nucleotide long non-coding RNA. RefSeq lists it as uncharacterized. NCBI's taxonomy places the organism in Eukaryota, Viridiplantae, Streptophyta, Magnoliopsida, Poales, Poaceae. The transcript has 2 exons. The record is from RefSeq and is a predicted model, not a curated record.